This 663-nucleotide ribosomal RNA is filed under the name uncultured Pseudomonadota bacterium. RNAcentral's name for it is "bacterial SSU rRNA". It matches the Rfam family "Bacterial small subunit ribosomal RNA", at positions 9 to 669 of the family's 1533-position model. The record is from RNAcentral. Lineage: Bacteria; Pseudomonadati; Pseudomonadota.
GAGUUUGAUCCUGGCUCAGAUUGAACGCUGGCGGCAUGCUUUACACAUGCAAGUCGAACGGCAGCACGGGGCAACCUGGUGGCGAGUGGCGAACGGGUGAGUAAUAUAUCGGAACAUGUCCGGAAGUGGGGGAUAACGUAGCGAAAGUUACGCUAAUACCGCAUAUGCCCUGAGGGGGAAAGGAGGGGAUCGCAAGACCUUUCGCUUUCGGAGUGGCCGAUAUCAGAUUAGCUAGUUGGUGGGGUAAAGGCCUACCAAGGCAACGAUCUGUAGCUGGUCUGAGAGGACGACCAGCCACACUGGGACUGAGACACGGCCCAGACUCCUACGGGAGGCAGCAGUGGGGAAUUUUGGACAAUGGGGGCAACCCUGAUCCAGCCAUGCCGCGUGAGUGAAGAAGGCCUUCGGGUUGUAAAGCUCUUUCAGCCGGAAAGAAAUCGUGCAACCUAAUACGUUGUAUGGAUGACGGUACCGGAAGAAGAAGCACCGGCUAACUACGUGCCAGCAGCCGCGGUAAUACGUAGGGUGCGAGCGUUAAUCGGAAUUACUGGGCGUAAAGCGUGCGCAGGCGGUUUUGUAAGACAGAUGUGAAAUCCCCGGGCUUAACCUGGGAACUGCAUUUGUGACUGCAAGGCUAGAGUACGGCAGAGGGGGGUAGAAUUC